ACACAGACACCAAAGAUUAGUCCAAAGAUAUUUCUGACAUACAUACCCUCAGAGACAAAUCCUGUCAAUGGAAGUAAUUCUGAGCAGAUGACAAACCACACUUUAAAUGCAAAUAUAACACAAGAAAGUAUUUUGGAAACAACCGUUGCACCGAACCUUGCAGAGAAUGAUGUGAAACAAAAUGACAAACAAGUCUGAGACACAACUCAAUGGUUAGAAACACCCUGAAGACAAUUUAUGAUUAAAGAGAAGUAAAGAAAAGAGAACUGGAAAACAUUCAACAAUCAUGAAAUUACCUGCUUUAAUGUCUGUUGAACAAAUUAUCUUUGUAGUUAAUUACCAAAUUACCUUUGUACUGAAUAUUGUCAUAAUGUGUUAUGCUAGACGGUGAAUGAUAAAACAUUGAGAGUAAGCCAUUUUUAUAGUACAGUAUAUCAAAAGUUGAUAAUUGCAUUAUUAAAGUUAAAGGGUUAAAUAACGAUUUUAUUAGACUAUGUAUGCUAAUCAAAAGUGUAAUUUUCAUUAUUUGGUGAUAAUGUCAAACUAAUUUAAUUAAACUGUCCACUGGGGAAGUUGCUGGGUCUCAUACAAACUGUGAUGAUCCGCUGAUUAUAUGUUCUCAUAAGUAAUAAAAACAUGUAGUAGCCAACAAGCCUACAAAACUACUGAAAA
Carassius carassius (crucian carp) is the source of this 672-nucleotide long non-coding RNA. RefSeq lists it as uncharacterized. Lineage: Eukaryota; Metazoa; Chordata; Actinopteri; Cypriniformes; Cyprinidae. The record is from RefSeq and is a predicted model, not a curated record. The transcript is spliced from 5 exons.